CGGGUAGCCGGCCUGRGARGGUGACCGGSCACACKGGGACUGAGACRCGGGGRGACSCUASGGGAGGCAGCAGUGGGGAAUAUUGCACAAUGGGCGGAAGSCUGAUGCAGCGACGCCGCGUGAGGGAUGACGGCCUUCGGGUUGUAAACCUCUUUCAGCAGGGAAGAAGCCACAAGUGACGGUACCUGCAGAAGAAGCGCCGGCUAACUACGUGCCAGCAGCCGCGGUAAUACGUAGGGCGCAAGCGUUGUCCGGAAUUAUUGGGCGUAAAGAGCUCGUAGGCGGUUUGUCGCGUCUGCUGUGAAAGCCCGGGGCUCAACCCCGGGUCUGCAGUGGGUACGGGCAGACUAGAGUGCAGUAGGGGAGACUGGAAUUCCUGGUGUAGCGGUGAAAUGCGCAGAUAUCAGGAGGAACACCGAUGGCGAAGGCAGGUCUCUGGGCUGUUACUGACGCUGAGGAGCGAAAGCAUGGGGAGCGAACAGGAUUAGAUACCCUGGUAGUCCAUGCCGUAAACGUUGGGCACUAGGUGUGGGGGACAUUCCACGUUCUCCGCGCCGUAGCUAACGCAUUAAGUGCCCCGCCUGGGGGAGUACGG
Molecule: ribosomal RNA, 595 nt
Filed under: Kocuria sp. CMT4
Lineage: Bacteria; Bacillati; Actinomycetota; Actinomycetes; Micrococcales; Micrococcaceae
Description: bacterial SSU rRNA
Rfam family: Bacterial small subunit ribosomal RNA
Source: RNAcentral